Long non-coding RNA from Jaculus jaculus (lesser Egyptian jerboa), 477 nucleotides. RefSeq lists it as uncharacterized. NCBI's taxonomy places the organism in Eukaryota, Metazoa, Chordata, Mammalia, Rodentia, Dipodidae. The transcript has 2 exons. The record is from RefSeq and is a predicted model, not a curated record.
UCCAAUUGUCCCGCACUCCGUCCAAGGACUCGGGUCGGAGUUCCGCGCGCUUGGCGAGGGCGGCUCGGGACCUGGCUUGGCGCGUCUGUAUCUGGACAGCCACAGGAACUCGGGAUCCCGGGUCGCAGGGGUGAUGCCUGUGUCUGCACACAAGGAGCGAAGACUGAGCCACGGGCUUGAGUAGCUGACGGCUGUAUGAGUGUUUUGUGGGAGACUCUCUAAGCUUGGUUUCCUGAGCGCCCAGCGUGGGUCUGAGGUCUAAAUGCAAUCUGGCAGGAUCCUAAUAUAUCACUCAGGCUGGCCUUGAAUUGAGGAGCCUCCUUCCUCUGCUUCGUGAAUGCUGGGAUUUCAGGCACCAUCAUACUCGGCUCUCUCCGUUCCUUACCAAGCUCUAUUCACCUGUUCAACAGAUGUUUACUACCUGUCUGCUGUGUGUAGGCACCAUUCUAAUCGGUCGGGAUAAAGUUGUUAACAGAA